RNAcentral lists this non-coding RNA (65 nucleotides) under Variovorax paradoxus. RNAcentral describes it as "Li+-I sequence". It matches the Rfam family "nhaA-I RNA". Rfam says of the family: Acidobacteria, Alphaproteobacteria, Betaproteobacteria and Gammaproteobacteria, Verrucomicrobia, cand. division NC10. RNAcentral also lists the same sequence under 1 other name. Lineage: Bacteria; Pseudomonadati; Pseudomonadota; Betaproteobacteria; Burkholderiales; Comamonadaceae. The record is from RNAcentral.
GGGUGCGGGGCCGCUUGCUUCUUGUUGGCGGCGCCGCAGGUUCAUGCGAUGGUCGGGCCGCCACG